GUUACUUCGGUACAUCGGUGACAGGUGGUGCAUGGUUGUCGUCAGCUCGUGUCGUGAGAUGUUGGGUUAAGUCCCGCAACGAGCGCAACCCCUAUUGUUAGUUGCCAUCAUUCAGUUGGGCACUCUAGCGAGACUGCCGGUAAUAAACCGGAGGAAGUGGGGAUGACGUCAAAUCAUCAUGCCCCUUAUGACCUGGGCUACACACGUGCUACAAUGGUUGGUACAACGAGUUGCGAGUCGGUGACGGCGAGCUAAUCUCUUAAAGCCAAUCUCAGUUCGGAUUGUAGGCUGCAACUCGCCUACAUGAAGUCGGAAUCGCUAGUAAUCGCGGAUCAGCACGCCGCGGUGAAUACGUUCCCGGGCCUU
RNAcentral lists this ribosomal RNA (366 nucleotides) under uncultured Streptococcus sp. RNAcentral describes it as "bacterial SSU rRNA". It matches the Rfam family "Bacterial small subunit ribosomal RNA", at positions 1014 to 1382 of the family's 1533-position model. Lineage: Bacteria; Bacillati; Bacillota; Bacilli; Lactobacillales; Streptococcaceae. The record is from RNAcentral.